UACAGAGGGGGCUAGCGUUGUUCGGAAUUACUGGGCGUAAAGGGCGCGUAGGCGGCCCGUUAAGUUAGAAGUGAAAUCCCAGGGCUUAACCCUGGAAUUGCUUUUAAUACUGACAGGCUUGAGAUCGGUAGGGGAUAGUGGAAUUCCUAGUGUAGGAGUGAAAUCCGUAGAUAUUAGGAGGAACACCAGUGGCGAAGGCGGCUAUCUGGACCGAUUCUGACGCUGAGGCGCGAAAGUGUGGGGAGCAAACAGG
RNAcentral lists this ribosomal RNA (253 nucleotides) under uncultured bacterium. Its description in RNAcentral is "partial 16S ribosomal RNA". It matches the Rfam family "Bacterial small subunit ribosomal RNA", at positions 524 to 776 of the family's 1533-position model. The record is from RNAcentral.